Molecule: ribosomal RNA, 1061 nt
Filed under: Salmonella enterica
Lineage: Bacteria; Pseudomonadati; Pseudomonadota; Gammaproteobacteria; Enterobacterales; Enterobacteriaceae
Description: partial 23S ribosomal RNA
Rfam family: Bacterial large subunit ribosomal RNA
Source: RNAcentral
GAUGUUGGCUUAGAAGCAGCCAUCAUUUAAAGAAAGCGUAAUAGCUCACUGGUCGAGUCGGCCUGCGCGGAAGAUGUAACGGGGCUAAACCAUGCACCGAAGCUGCGGCAGCGACACUGUGUGUUGUUGGGUAGGGGAGCGUUCUGUAAGCCUGUGAAGGUGGCCUGUGAGGGUUGCUGGAGGUAUCAGAAGUGCGAAUGCUGACAUAAGUAACGAUAAAGCGGGUGAAAAGCCCGCUCGCCGGAAGACCAAGGGUUCCUGUCCAACGUUAAUCGGGGCAGGGUGAGUCGACCCCUAAGGCGAGGCCGAAAGGCGUAGUCGAUGGGAAACGGGUUAAUAUUCCCGUACUUGGUGUUACUGCGAAGGGGGGACGGAGAAGGCUAUGUUGGCCGGGCGACGGUUGUCCCGGUUUAAGCGUGUAGGUGUGUGUUCCAGGUAAAUCCGGUUCACUUUAACACUGAGGCGUGACGACGAGGCACUACGGUGCUGAAGCAACAAAUGCCCUGCUUCCAGGAAAAGCCUCUAAGCAUCAGGUAACAUCAAAUCGUACCCCAAACCGACACAGGUGGUCAGGUAGAGAAUACCAAGGCGCUUGAGAGAACUCGGGUGAAGGAACUAGGCAAAAUGGUGCCGUAACUUCGGGAGAAGGCACGCUGACACGUAGGUGAAGUGAUUUACUCAUGGAGCUGAAGUCAGUCGAAGAUACCAGCUGGCUGCAACUGUUUAUUAAAAACACAGCACUGUGCAAACACGAAAGUGGACGUAUACGGUGUGACGCCUGCCCGGUGCCGGAAGGUUAAUUGAUGGGGUCAGCGCAAGCGAAGCUCCUGAUCGAAGCCCCGGUAAACGGCGGCCGUAACUAUAACGGUCCUAAGGUAGCGAAAUUCCUUGUCGGGUAAGUUCCGACCUGCACGAAUGGCGUAAUGAUGGCCAGGCUGUCUCCACCCGAGACUCAGUGAAAUUGAACUCGCUGUGAAGAUGCAGUGUACCCGCGGCAAGACGGAAAGACCCCGUGAACCUUUACUAUAGCUUGACACUGAACAUUGAGCCUUGAUGUGUAG